GGAAUGAACGUUGGCGGCGUGGAUUAGGCAUGCAAGUCGCGCGCCCCGCAAGGGGAGCGGCGCAAGGGUGAGUAAGGCGACGGUAACCAACCCCGCAAAUGGGCAUAGCCGAGGGAAACCUCGGGUAAUUCCCAGCGAAGUCGCGGAGAGGCAUCUCUCUGCGACCAAAGUUCCGGCGUUGCGGGACGGGCCGUCGUGGUAUUAGCUUGUUGGCGGGGUGACGGCCCACCAAGGCUACGAUGCCUACCGGGCGUGCGAGCGUGGCCCGGCACACUGGGACUGAGACACUGCCCAGACUCCUACGGGAGGCUGCAGUCGAGAAUCUUCGGCAAUGGGCGCAAGCCUGACCGAGCGACGCCGCGUGGAGGAUGAAGGCCUUCGGGUUGUAAACUCCUGUCGAGGGGAGGAAGGCGUAAGCUUGACCGAUCCCGUGGAGGAAGCACGGGCUAAGGUUCGUGCCAGCAGCCGC
This 469-nucleotide ribosomal RNA is filed under the name uncultured bacterium. RNAcentral's name for it is "SSU rRNA". It matches the Rfam family "Bacterial small subunit ribosomal RNA", at positions 27 to 518 of the family's 1533-position model. The record is from RNAcentral.